RNAcentral lists this ribosomal RNA (486 nucleotides) under uncultured bacterium. Its description in RNAcentral is "partial 16S ribosomal RNA". It matches the Rfam family "Bacterial small subunit ribosomal RNA", at positions 28 to 507 of the family's 1533-position model. The record is from RNAcentral.
GAUGAACGCUGGCGGCGUGCUUAACACAUGCAAGUCGAACGGAAAGGCCCAAGCUUGCUUGGGUACUCGAGUGGCGAACGGGUGAGUAACACGUGGGUAAUCUGCCCUGCACUUCGGGAUAAGCCUGGGAAACUGGGGCUAAUACCGGAUAGGACCACUUCUUGGAUGUUGUUGUGGAAAGUUUUUUCGGUGUGGGGUGAGCUCGCGGCGGUUCAGCUUGUUGGUGGGGUAAUGGUCUACCAAGGCGUCGACGCGUAGCCGACCGGAGAGGGUGGACGGCGACACUGGAAGGGAGACGCGCUCCAGAGUCCUAAGAGAGGCAGCAGUGUGCAAUGUGCGGCAAUGGGGGGAAGUCUGACGGAGGGGCGGCGCGCGGGUGACGAAGGGCCGCGGUGGGGAAAGCCCGGUUUUGGGGGAAAAACAAAUUUCGCUGGGAACGUGGCCGUUUGGACGGUACCCAAGGAAAAAGCCACGGCUAACUUAGUG